RNAcentral lists this ribosomal RNA (1056 nucleotides) under Triticum aestivum (bread wheat). RNAcentral's name for it is "partial small subunit ribosomal RNA". The record is from RNAcentral. Lineage: Eukaryota; Viridiplantae; Streptophyta; Magnoliopsida; Poales; Poaceae.
AUGUACUCGUGGGAGAUGCUGUCGUUCAACAUCCACGACGGGUUCCUGGAGGCGAUCGUGCGGGGGAACCGCUCGGGCCUCCUCACCCAAGCCGAUUACAACAACCUCUGCCAGUGCGAGACCCUCGACGACAUCAAGAUGCACCUCUCCGCCACCGAGUACGGUCCAUACCUCCAGAACGAACCUUCUCCCUUGCACACGACAACAAUUGUGGAGAAGUGCACUCUCAAGCUGGUUGAUGAAUACAAACACAUGUUGUGCCAGGCGAAUGAACCUCUAUCUACAUUCCUACAGUACAUAACGUAUGGACACAUGAUCGAUAAUGUUGUACUUAUUGUUACUGGGACAUUGCAUGAAAGAGAUGUUAACGAACUGUUGGAGAAAUGCCAUCCAUUGGGCAUGUUUGACAGCAUUGCAUCACUUGCGGUUGCUCAAAAUAUGCGUGAGCUUUACAGGCUGGUUCUAGUUGAUACACCCUUAGCACCGUACUUCUCAGAGUGCAUUACAUCUGAGGAUCUGGAUGACAUGAAUAUUGAGAUCAUGAGGAACACACUCUACAAAGCGUAUCUUGAGGAUUUUUACAAAUUUUGCGCGAAACUAGGUGGUGCGACGGCUGAGAUUAUGUGUAAUCUCCUUUCAUUUGAAGCCGACAGAAGAGCUGUAAACAUUACAAUAAACAGUAUUGGUACUGAGCUGACUAGAGAUGACCGCCGGAAGCUGUACUCCAACUUUGGUCUAUUGUUUCCGUAUGGUCAUGAAGACUUGGCUGUCUGUGAAGAUGUUGACCAGGUGCGUGGUGUAAUGGAAAAGUACCCCCCAUACCAGUCUAUUUUUGCCAAGAUAUCAUAUGGCGAAAGCCAGAUGUUGGACAAGGCCUUUUAUGAGGAGGAAGUAAAGAGGCUGUGCCUGUCAUUUGAACAGCAGUUCCACUAUGCCGUUUUCUUCGCAUACAUGAGGCUACGAGAGCAGGAGAUAAGGAACUUGAUGUGGAUCUCUGAAUGCGUUGCUCAGAACCAGAAGAACAGGGUCCACGACAGCGUCGUGCCGAUCUUUUAA